Molecule: ribosomal RNA, 465 nt
Filed under: uncultured bacterium
Lineage: Bacteria
Description: partial 16S ribosomal RNA
Rfam family: Bacterial small subunit ribosomal RNA
Source: RNAcentral
CCUACGGGCGGCAGCAGUGGGGAAUAUUGCGCAAUGGGCGAAAGCCUGACGCAGCGACGCCGCGUGAGGGAUGAAGGUCUUCGGAUCGUAAACCUCUGUCAGCAGGGAAGCACGGUCACUGUGCUAAUCAGCAGUGAAUUGACGGUACCUGCAAAGGAAGCACCGGCUAACUCCGUGCCAGCAGCCGCGGUAAUCCGGAGGGUGCGAGCGUUAAUCGGAAUUACUGGGCGUAAAGCGCUCGUAGGCGGUAUGUCAAGUCAAGGGUGAAAUCCCCGCGCUCAACGUGGGAACUGCCUGUGAACCUGGCAAACUUGAGUGUGUGAGAGGAUAGUGGAAUUCCAGGUGUAGGAGUGAAAUCCGUAGAUAUCUGGAGGAACAUCAGUGGCGAAGGCGACCAUCUGGCACAUAACUGACGCUGAGGAGCGAAAGCGUGGGUAGCAAACAGGAUUAGAUACCCGGGUAGUC